GAUGAACGCUGACAGAAUGCUUAACACAUGCAAGUCAACUUGAAUUUGGGUUUUUAACUUAGAUUUGGGUGGCGGACGGGUGAGUAACGCGUAAAGAACUUGCCUCACAGCUAGGGACAACAUUUAGAAAUGAAUGCUAAUACCUGAUAUUAUGAUUUUAAGGCAUCUUAGAAUUAUGAAAGCUAUAAGCACUGUGAGAGAGCUUUGCGUCCCAUUAGCUAGUUGGAGAGGUAACAGCUCACCAAGGCGAUGAUGGGUAGCCGGCCUGAGAGGGUGAACGGCCACAAGGGGACUGAGACACGGCCCUUACUCCUACGGGAGGCAGCAGUGGGGAAUAUUGGACAAUGGACCGAGAGUCUGAUCCAGCAAUUCUGUGUGCACGAUGAAGUUUUUCGGAAUGUAAAGUGCUUUCAGUUGGGAAGAAAUAAAUGACGGUACCAACAGAAGAAGUGACGGCUAAAUACGUGCCAGCAGCCGCGGUAAUACGUAUGUCACGAGCGUUAUCCGGAUUUAUUGGGCGUAAAGCGCGUCUAGGUGGUUAUGUAAGUCUGAUGUGAAAAUGCAGGGCUCAGCUCUGUAUUGCGUUGGAAACUGUAUAACUAGAGUACUGGAGAGGUAAGCGGAACUACAAGUGUAGAGGUGAAAUUCGUAGAUAUUUGUAGGAAUGCCGAUGGGGAAGCCAGCUUACUGGACAGAUACUGACGCUAAAGCGCGAAAGCGUGGGUAGCAACAGG
RNAcentral lists this ribosomal RNA (734 nucleotides) under uncultured Fusobacterium sp. RNAcentral describes it as "bacterial SSU rRNA". It matches the Rfam family "Bacterial small subunit ribosomal RNA", at positions 28 to 775 of the family's 1533-position model. The record is from RNAcentral. Lineage: Bacteria; Fusobacteriati; Fusobacteriota; Fusobacteriia; Fusobacteriales; Fusobacteriaceae.